AUGUGUUUGUCUUAAACGUCAAGUUCUUU
Molecule: non-coding RNA, 29 nt
Filed under: Rattus norvegicus (Norway rat)
Lineage: Eukaryota; Metazoa; Chordata; Mammalia; Rodentia; Muridae
Source: RNAcentral